CGAAUGCUGACAUAAGUAACGAUAAAGCGGGUGAAAAGCCCGCUCGCCGGAAGACCAAGGGUUCCUGUCCAACGUUAAUCGGGGCAGGGUGAGUCGACCCCUAAGGCGAGGCCGAAAGGCGUAGUCGAUGGGAAACGGGUUAAUAUUCCCGUACUUGGUGUUACUGCGAAGGGGGGACGGAGAAGGCUAUGUUGGCCGGGCGACGGUUGUCCCGGUUUAAGCGUGUAGGUGUGUGUUCCAGGUAAAUCCGGUUCACUUUAACACUGAGGCGUGAUGACGAGGCACUACGGUGCUGAAGCAACAAAUGCCCUGCUUCCAGGAAAAGCCUCUAAGCAUCAGGUAACAUCAAAUCGUACCCCAAACCGACACAGGUGGUCAGGUAGAGAAUACCAAGGCGCUUGAGAGAACUCGGGUGAAGGAACUAGGCAAAAUGGUGCCGUAACUUCGGGAGAAGGCACGCUGACAC
This 466-nucleotide ribosomal RNA is filed under the name Salmonella enterica. Its description in RNAcentral is "partial 23S ribosomal RNA". It matches the Rfam family "Bacterial large subunit ribosomal RNA", at positions 1291 to 1757 of the family's 2925-position model. The record is from RNAcentral. Lineage: Bacteria; Pseudomonadati; Pseudomonadota; Gammaproteobacteria; Enterobacterales; Enterobacteriaceae. RNAcentral also lists the same sequence under 2 other names.